RNAcentral lists this non-coding RNA (163 nucleotides) under uncultured Flavonifractor sp. The record is from RNAcentral. Lineage: Bacteria; Bacillati; Bacillota; Clostridia; Eubacteriales; Oscillospiraceae.
UGGUAGCCAUCCCCACGGGGAGGCUUUCAAUGGGAAUGCGGUGCAAAUCCGCAGCAGCCCUCUCUACUGUAAGGAGGACGAGCGCUCAGAAGGUCACUGUCCGGCAAGCCGGAUGGGAAGACGAGCGUGAGGCAGAAUCCAAGCCAGGAGACCAGCCAGCCGC